ACCUUUUGUAUAAUGGGUCAGCGAGUUACUUUCAGUGGCGAGGUUAACUGAAUAAGGGAGCCGUAGAGAAAUCGAGUCUGAAUAGGGCGAUAGUCGCUGGGAGUAGACCCGAAACCGGGCGAUCUAGCCAUGUGCAGGAUGAAGGUUGGGUAACACCAACUGGAGGUCCGAACCGGGUAAUGUUGAAAAAUUAUCGGAUGACGUGUGGCUAGGAGUGAAAGGCUAAUCAAGCCCGGAGAUAGCUGGUUCUCCCCGAAAGCUAUUUAGGUAGCGCCUCGUGAAUGAUUACUGGGGGUAGAGCACUGUUUCGGCUAGGGGGCUGUCAUGGCUUACCAAACCGAUGCAAACUCCGAAUACCGGCUAAUUGGAUCACGGGAGACACACGGCGGGUGCUAACGUCCGUCGUGGAGAGGGAAACAACCCAGACCGCCAGCUAAGGUCCCCAAGUACUAGUUAAGUGGGAAACGAUGUGGGAAGGCAUAGACAGCCAGGAGGUUGGCUUAGAAGCAGCCACCCUUUAAAGAAAGCGUAAUAGCUCACUGGUCGAGUCGGCCUGCGCGGAAGAUGUAACGGGGCUAAAACUAGUCACCGAAGCUGCGGAUGUGCGCGAAGGCGCACGUGGUAGGGGAGCGUUCUGUAGGCUGAUGAAGGUGCAUUGAGAAGUGUGCUGGAGGUAUCAGAAGUGCGAAUGCUGACAUGAGUAACGAUAAUGUGGGUGAAAAGCCCACACGCCGGAAGUCCCAGGUUUCCUGCACGACGUUAAUCGGAGCAGGGUGAGUCGGCCCCUAAGGCGAGGCUGAAGAGCGUAGUCGAUGGGAACCAGGUUAAUAUUCCUGGACUUUUUAUAAGUGGUGAAGUGGGGACGAAGAAGGCUAGGUGAGCCAGGCGUUGGUUGUCCUGGUACUUGCAUGUAGGGGGGAAGACUUGGCAAAUCCGGUUUUCCAUAACUCUGAGGUGCGAAGUGGUUCUGACCUAUUGGUACAGAGAAGUCAUUGAUGCCCGGCUUCCAGGAAAAGCUGCUAGCCAUAACUUAUAGAGAACCGUACCGCAAACCGACACAGGUGGACAGGUAGAGAAUACUAAGGCGCUUGAGAGAACUCGGGUGAAGGAACUAGGCAAAAUGGUACCGUAACUUCGGGAGAAGGUACGCCCUUUUGGGUGAGGGCAUUUACUGUCUGAGCUUAAGAGGGCCGCAGAGACCAGGUGGCUGCGACUGUUUAUUAAAAACACAGCACUCUGCAAAUUCGUAAGAAGACGUAUAGGGUGUGACGCCUGCCCGGUGCCGGAAGGUUAAUUGAUGGGGUUAUCUUCGGAGAAGCUCUUGAUCGAAGCCCCGGUAAACGGCGGCCGUAACUAUAACGGUCCUAAGGUAGCGAAAUUCCUUGUCGGGUAAGUUCCGACCUGCACGAAUGGCGUAACGAUGGCCACACUGUCUCCACCCGAGACUCAGUGAAAUUGAAAUCGCUGUGAAGAUGCAGUGUACCCGCGGCUAGACGGAAAGACCCCGUGAACCUUUACUAUAGUUUUGCACUGGACUUUGAUGAUGACUGUGUAGGAUAGGUGGGAGGCUGUGAAGUGAGGACGCUAGUUCUCAUGGAGCCGCCCUUGAAAUACCACCCUGUUGUUAUUGAGGUUCUAACUUGGUCCAGUAAUCCUGGAUGAGGACAGUGUAUGAUGGGUAGUUUGACUGGGGCGGUCUCCUCCCAAAGAGUAACGGAGGAGCACAAAGGUACCCUCGGUACGGUCGGACAUCGUACCAAGAGUGUAAAGGCAAAAGGGUGCUUGACUGCGAGAGUGACGGCUCGAGCAGGAACGAAAGUUGGUCUUAGUGAUCCGGUGGUUCUGAAUGGAAGGGCCAUCGCUCAACGGAUAAAAGGUACUCCGGGGAUAACAGGCUGAUACCGCCCAAGAGUUCAUAUCGACGGCGGUGUUUGGCACCUCGAUGUCGGCUCAUCACAUCCUGGGGCUGAAGCAGGUCCCAAGGGUAUGGCUGUUCGCCAUUUAAAGUGGUACGCGAGCUGGGUUUAGAACGUCGUGAGACAGUUCGGUCCCUAUCUGCCGUGGGCGUAGGAAAAUUGAGAGGAGCUGCUCCUAGUACGAGAGGACCGGAGUGGACGAACCUCUGGUGCACCGGUUGUCACGCCAGUGGCAUGGCCGGGUAGCUAAGUUCGGACGGGAUAACCGCUGAAAGCAUCUAAGCGGGAAGCCUCCCUCAAGAUGAGUUUUCCCAUGAAGCCCGUUGAAGACUACGACGUUGAUAGGCAAGGUGUGGAAGCGCAGUAAUGCGUGAAGCUAACUUGUACUAAUUGGCUGAUUGUCUUGACCA
Molecule: ribosomal RNA, 2326 nt
Filed under: Legionella pneumophila
Lineage: Bacteria; Pseudomonadati; Pseudomonadota; Gammaproteobacteria; Legionellales; Legionellaceae
Description: partial 23S ribosomal RNA
Rfam family: Bacterial large subunit ribosomal RNA
Source: RNAcentral